Molecule: non-coding RNA, 121 nt
Organism: Picea glauca (white spruce)
Lineage: Eukaryota; Viridiplantae; Streptophyta; Pinopsida; Pinales; Pinaceae
Source: Rfam
ACAUGCCUACAACAUAGCAUUAAUGCAACAGAUCCCAUUAGAGAUGUGCAGUUAAGCGUGCUCAGGCUAGAGUAGUAUCGGGAUGAGUGUCUGCUUGGGAAGUCCUAGUGUUUUACAUGCU